Long non-coding RNA from Tyto alba (common barn owl), 489 nucleotides. RefSeq lists it as uncharacterized. The record is from RefSeq and is a predicted model, not a curated record. NCBI's taxonomy places the organism in Eukaryota, Metazoa, Chordata, Aves, Strigiformes, Tytonidae. The transcript has 3 exons.
UCCCCUGGCCCAUGAUGUAAAGCAGUGCUAGCCCAGGCUUUGCUUCACUGAAGUCUCACGAAAGCUAUUUUUUUUUUCCACAGUCUGGGACUGUGCCUUUCCUUAGCUGUGACCUAGCAGAUGCACUUUCUGUUGCAGAGGGAGGAUGUGAGAGAGGACGCCUGCCCAGGGCACGGUACUCAUGGAUCCGGAGUUGUUUAAGCUUCAUAACAUCACUGAUACAUGGAAUUUUCUCACUACAGUCCUGAGAGAAAGGUGAACCGUAUUGUUAAAUAAUUUGCAGAGUGUCACUGAGGACUGCCAGACUUGUGGUCCUCGCUAUCUGAGCUGGGAGAGGAGGUUGCUGCUCCCAGCUUAUCCCCAGCCGUCCGCCCCACGCUCCUGGUAAGAAUCUGCAAGCAGGAGUAAAUGCAUGCCAUCCGAGCAGAUGGAAAGGGAAAGAGAUCUUUGGUGGGUAAGAGAAGAAUAACCCAAAGGACGGUGACAUCU